This 494-nucleotide ribosomal RNA is filed under the name Onychostoma gerlachi. RNAcentral describes it as "partial 16S ribosomal RNA". It matches the Rfam family "Bacterial large subunit ribosomal RNA", at positions 1928 to 2573 of the family's 2925-position model. Lineage: Eukaryota; Metazoa; Chordata; Actinopteri; Cypriniformes; Cyprinidae. The record is from RNAcentral.
CGGCCGCGGUAUUUUGACCGUGCAAAGGUAGCGCAAUCACUUGUCUUUUAAAUAGAGACCUGUAUGAAUGGCCAAACGAGGGCUUAACUGUCUCCCCUUUCAAGUCAGUGAAAUUGAUCUGCCCGUGCAGAAGCGGACAUAAUAACACAAGACGAGAAGACCCUUUGGAGCUUAAGGUACAAAACUCAACCCAUGUCAAACAACUCAAUAAAAAAUAAAAACUCUGUGGGACAUGAUAUUUUACCUUCGGUUGGGGCGACCACGGAGGAAAAUAAAGCCUCCAAGUGGAUUGGGAAAAUCCCCUAAAACUAAGAGAGACAUCUCUAAGCCACAGAACAUCUGACCAAAUAUGAUCCGGUAACAUAACCGAUCAACGAACCAAGUUACCCUAGGGAUAACAGCGCAAUCCUCUCCCAGAGUCCAUAUCGACGAGGGGGUUUACGACCUCGAUGUUGGAUCAGGACAUCCUAAUGGUGCAGCCGCUAUUAAGGGUU